ACGCUGGCGGCGUGCCUAAUACAUGCAAGUCGAACGGUCUUUUCUAUGGAAGCUUGCUUCCACUGAGAAGAUAGUGGCGGACGGGUGAGUAACACGUGGGUAACCUGCCCAUAAGAGGGGGAUAACAUCCGGAAACGGGUGCUAAUACCGCAUAGUUUUCUUGAUCGCAUGAUCGAGAAAGGAAAGACGGCCUUUGUGCUGUCGCUUAUGGAUGGACCCGCGGCGUAUUAGUUAGUUGGUGAGGUAAUGGCUCACCAAGACGAUGAUACGUAGCCGACCUGAGAGGGUGAUCGGCCACAUUGGGACUGAGACACGGCCCAAACUCCUACGGGAGGCAGCAGUAGGGAAUCUUCCGCAAUGGACGAAAGUCUGACGGAGCAACGCCGCGUGAGUGAAGAAGGUUUUCGGAAUCGUAAAACUCUGUUGUCAGAGAAGAACAAGUUGGAGAGUAACUGCUCCAGCCUUGACGGUAUCUGACCAGAAAGCCACGGCUAACUACGUGCCAGCAGCAGC
Molecule: ribosomal RNA, 513 nt
Filed under: uncultured bacterium
Lineage: Bacteria
Description: bacterial SSU rRNA
Rfam family: Bacterial small subunit ribosomal RNA
Source: RNAcentral